GAACCAGUACCGUGAGGGAAAGGUGAAAAGCACCCCGGAAGGGGAGUGAAAUAGAACCUGAAACCGUGUGCUUACAAGUAGUCAGAGCCCGUUAAUGGGUGAUGGCGUGCCUUUUGUAGAAUGAACCGGCGAGUUACGAUUUGAUGCAAGGUUAAGCAGUAAAUGUGGAGCCGUAGCGAAAGCGAGUCUGAAUAGGGCGUUUAGUAUUUGGUCGUAGACCCGAAACCAGGUGAUCUACCCUUGGUCAGGUUGAAGUUCAGGUAACACUGAAUGGAGGACCGAACCGACUUACGUUGAAAAGUGAGCGGAUGAACUGAGGGUAGCGGAGAAAUUCCAAUCGAACCUGGAGAUAGCUGGUUCUCUCCGAAAUAGCUUUAGGGCUAGCCUCAAGUGAUGAUUAUUGGAGGUAGAGCACUGUUUGGACGAGGGGCCCCUCUCGGGUUACCGAAUUCAGACAAACUCCGAAUGCCAAUUAAUUUAACUUGGGAGUCAGAACAUGGGUGAUAAGGUCCGUGUUCGAAAGGGAAACAGCCCAGACCACCAGCUAAGGUCCCAAAAUAUAUGUUAAGUGGAAAAGGAUGUGGCGUUGCCCAGACAACUAGGAUGUUGGCUUAGAAGCAGCCAUCAUUUAAAGAGUGCGUAAUAGCUCACUAGUCGAGUGACACUGCGCCGAAAAUGUACCGGGGCUAAACAUAUUACCGAAGCUGUGGAUUGUCCUUUGGACAAUGGUAGGAGAGCGUUCUAAGGGCGUUGAAGCAUGAUCGUAAGGACAUGUGGAGCGCUUAGAAGUGAGAAUGCCGGUGUGAGUAGCGAAAGACGGGUGAGAAUCCCGUCCACCGAUUGACUAAGGUUUCCAGAGGAAGGCUCGUCCGCUCUGGGUUAGUCGGGUCCUAAGCUGAGGCCGACAGGCGUAGGCGAUGGAUAACAGGUUGAUAUUCCUGUACCACCUAUAAUCGUUUUAAUCGAUGGGGGGACGCAGUAGGAUAGGCGAAGCGUGCGAUUGGAUUGCACGUCUAAGCAGUAAGGCUGAGUAUUAGGCAAAUCCGGUACUCAUUAAGGCUGAGCUGUGAUGGGGAGAAGACAUUGUGUCUUCGAGUCGUUGAUUUCACACUGCCGAGAAAAGCCUCUAGAUAGAAAAUAGGUGCCCGUACCGCAAACCGACACAGGUAGUCAAGAUGAGAAUUCUAAGGUGAGCGAGCGAACUCUCGUUAAGGAACUCGGCAAAAUGACCCCGUAACUUCGGGAGAAGGGGUGCUCUUUAGGGUUAACGCCCAGAAGAGCCGCAGUGAAUAGGCCCAAGCGACUGUUUAUCAAAAACACAGGUCUCUGCUAAACCGUAAGGUGAUGUAUAGGGGCUGACGCCUGCCCGGUGCUGGAAGGUUAAGAGGAGUGGUUAGCUUCUGCGAAGCUACGAAUCGAAGCCCCAGUAAACGGCGGCCGUAACUAUAACGGUCCUAAGGUAGCGAAAUUCCUUGUCGGGUAAGUUCCGACCCGCACGAAAGGCGUAACGAUUUGGGCACUGUCUCAACGAGAGACUCGGUGAAAUCAUAGUACCUGUGAAGAUGCAGGUUACCCGCGACAGGACGGAAAGACCCCGUGGAGCUUUACUGUAGCCUGAUAUUGAAAUUCGGCACAGCUUGUACAGGAUAGGUAGGAGCCUUUGAAACGUGAGCGCUAGCUUACGUGGAGGCGCUGGUGGGAUACUACCCUAGCUGUGUUGGCUUUCUAACCCGCACCACUUAUCCUGUCUCUUAUACACAUCUCCGAGCCCACGAGACGGAGCUACAUCUCGU
This 1793-nucleotide ribosomal RNA is filed under the name Staphylococcus aureus. RNAcentral's name for it is "partial 23S ribosomal RNA". It matches the Rfam family "Bacterial large subunit ribosomal RNA", at positions 492 to 2242 of the family's 2925-position model. The record is from RNAcentral. Lineage: Bacteria; Bacillati; Bacillota; Bacilli; Caryophanales; Staphylococcaceae.